CUGCAGUCAAUUAAGCUGACCAUCUUCCUUUCCGUGUGGGGACCAGUAAGCAAUAACUGAAAACUGCAGCCUCCUUGGUAGUGUCUAGACCCUAUUUCUUAUUUGGGUUUCUUUGAAGGACCUUGGAAACAGCC
RNAcentral lists this small nucleolar RNA (134 nucleotides) under Dasypus novemcinctus (nine-banded armadillo). RNAcentral describes it as "Small nucleolar RNA SNORA70 (ENSDNOG00000026981.1)". It matches the Rfam family "Small nucleolar RNA SNORA70". Rfam says of the family: snoRNA U70 seems to be exclusive to mammals and is a member of the H/ACA class of snoRNA which contain H (ANANNA) and ACA box motifs. H/ACA box snoRNAs are involved in the conversion of uridines to pseudouridines (5-ribosyluracil) a constituent of structural RNAs (transfer, ribosomal, small nuclear, and small nucleolar). The record is from RNAcentral. Lineage: Eukaryota; Metazoa; Chordata; Mammalia; Cingulata; Dasypodidae.